GACGAACGCUGGCGGCGUGCUUAACACAUGCAAGUCGAACGAAGAGCGAUGGAAGCUUGCUUCUAUCAAUCUUAGUGGCGAACGGGUGAGUAACGCGUAAUCAACCUGCCCUUCAGAGGGGGACAACAGUUGGAAACAACUGCUAAUACCGCAUACGAUCUAAUCUCGGCAUCGAGGAUAGAUGAAAGGUGGCCUCUACAUGUAAGCUAUCACUGAAGGAGGGGAUUGCGUCUGAUUAGCUAGUUGGAGGGGUAACGGCCCACCAAGGCGAUGAUCAGUAGCCGGUCUGAGAGGAUGAACGGCCACAUUGGGACUGAGACACGGCCCAGACUCCUACGGGAGGCAGCAGUGGGGAAUCUUCCGCAAUGGACGAAAGUCUGACGGAGCAACGCCGCGUGAGUGAUGACGGCCUUCGGGUUGUAAAGCUCUGUUAAUCGGGACGAAAGGCCUUCUUGCGAAUAGUGAGAAGGAUUGACGGUACCGGAAUAGAAAGCCACGGCUAACUACGUG
This 510-nucleotide ribosomal RNA is filed under the name uncultured bacterium. RNAcentral describes it as "partial 16S ribosomal RNA". It matches the Rfam family "Bacterial small subunit ribosomal RNA", at positions 28 to 507 of the family's 1533-position model. The record is from RNAcentral.